This 253-nucleotide ribosomal RNA is filed under the name uncultured bacterium. RNAcentral's name for it is "partial 16S ribosomal RNA". It matches the Rfam family "Bacterial small subunit ribosomal RNA", at positions 524 to 776 of the family's 1533-position model. The record is from RNAcentral.
UACAGAGGGUGCGAGCGUUAAUCGGAAUUACUGGGCGUAAAGCGCGCGUAGGCGGCUUUGCAAGUUAGAGGUGAAAGCCCGGAGCUCAACUUCGGAAUUGCCUUUAAAACUGCAUCGCUUGAAUCCGGGAGAGGUGAGUGGAAUUCCGAGUGUAGAGGUGAAAUUCGUAGAUAUUCGGAAGAACACCAGUGGCGAAGGCGGCUCACUGGACCGGCAUUGACGCUGAGGUGCGAAAGCGUGGGGAGCAAACAGG